GACGAACGCUGGCGGCGUGCUUAACACAUGCAAGUCGAACGGAAAGGCCCUGCUUUUGUGGGGUGCUCGAGUGGCGAACGGGUGAGUAACACGUGAGUAACCUGCCCUUGACUUUGGGAUAACUUCAGGAAACUGGGGCUAAUACCGGAUAGGAGCUCCUGCUGCAUGGUGGGGGUUGGAAAGUUUCGGCGGUUGGGGAUGGACUCGCGGCUUAUCAGCUUGUUGGUGGGGUAGUGGCUUACCAAGGCUUUGACGGGUAGCCGGCCUGAGAGGGUGACCGGCCACAUUGGGACUGGGAUACGGCCCAGACGCCUACGGGAGGCAGCAGUGGGGAAUAUUGCACAAUGGGCGGAAGCCUGAUGCAGCAACGCCGCGUGCGGGAUGACGGCCUUCGGGUUGAAACCGCUUUCGCCUGUGACGAAGCGUGAGUGACGGUAAUGGGUAAAGAAGCACCGGCUAACUACGUG
Molecule: ribosomal RNA, 467 nt
Filed under: uncultured bacterium
Lineage: Bacteria
Description: partial 16S ribosomal RNA
Rfam family: Bacterial small subunit ribosomal RNA
Source: RNAcentral